This 253-nucleotide ribosomal RNA is filed under the name uncultured bacterium. Its description in RNAcentral is "partial 16S ribosomal RNA". It matches the Rfam family "Bacterial small subunit ribosomal RNA", at positions 524 to 776 of the family's 1533-position model. The record is from RNAcentral.
UACGGAGGGUGCGAGCGUUAAUCGGAAUUACUGGGCGUAAAGCGUCCGUAGGCGGCUUGUUAAGUCUGAUGUGAAAGCCCUGGGCUUAACCUGGGAACGGCAUUGGAUACUGGCGAGCUAGAGUUCGGUAGAGGGUGGUGGAAUUCCCGGUGUAGCGGUGAAAUGCGUAGAGAUCGGGAGGAACACCGGUGGCGAAGGCGGCCACCUGGACCGAGACUGACGCUGAGGGACGAAAGCGUGGGGAGCAAACAGG